RNAcentral lists this long non-coding RNA (223 nucleotides) under Panax ginseng (ginseng). RNAcentral's name for it is "long non-coding RNA (PGIN_LNC013424)". The record is from RNAcentral. Lineage: Eukaryota; Viridiplantae; Streptophyta; Magnoliopsida; Apiales; Araliaceae.
GCUGCAGUUGUUGAUCUAAAACUUGUUGUCUAUUGUAUUCUAUCAGAUUUUUCCCUGUUAAGGAUUAAGGAAAUUUUUUUCUACAUUAUCUUAUUCAUAAUAUUCUUUACUGGGCUAAUUGAGUUCACCUUUUUCCUUUUGGUUCCAUUGUUUUUCUCAAGAAGCGAGAAUGUAGUUGGGAAUAGUCGGGGAAUGAAGUAAUGGUCCAAGAUGGUUAUUUUAG